RNAcentral lists this long non-coding RNA (1209 nucleotides) under Homo sapiens (human). RNAcentral's name for it is "HSALNT0323880". Lineage: Eukaryota; Metazoa; Chordata; Mammalia; Primates; Hominidae. The record is from RNAcentral.
CUUGAAGUGUAACUUUCUUCUCAAGGACAAGACUCUCAGAUCCUUUUUCCUUCAUGCUGUGCUGCAAAAAGCACAGACACUGUGUUCAUACAGUUCUUUUCUUGAAGUUUGGCUCCCUCAUUUACUGGCUGUCUGAUGUUAGCAAGUUGCAGAAAGUCUAUGAAGCUCAGCUUUAUACUUGAAGUGUUGUGUGAGGAUCAAAGGAGAAAGUGUGUUUGAGACACCAAGCAUAUUCCAUGUACUUAAUUCAUGGUGGUUAUUACUAUAUUCUGGCUUAAUCUCCAAGUUCAUUAUCCACGUCAAUAGUCACCUUGACAUUAGGAAAAGUGUGUCCACUGACAAGGAAUCAUAAGAUGAACAAAAUGUGCCUCUUGAUGGUGUAGCCAUUGAUGAUGUGGGUCAGAAUUCCAAAGAUGACUCCCUAAUAUUCCUAUCUUCUGGUAACUCAAACAGUCAUCUACGCACUGCAGAGGUUCUGUUGUUGUAAUUAAAGUCCCAAAUCAGGUUGCCUUAAAAUACCAUGAUUAACUGGCAUGUGCCUCACUUAAGCACACACAUCCUUUAAAAGGUGAUGACAGCGGCAUGAUGGGAAGUCAGGAAGAUUCAAAGCAUAGGAAGGAUUUGACGUGGCAUUGCUGGCUUUGAAAAUGGAAGGCCCACAAGCCUGGGAAUAUAGGUGGCCUCCAGAAGCUGACAACAGCUCCUGGUCAAUAGCCAGCAAAGAAACAGGGACCUCAAUCCUACAGCUGCACAUGACUGAAUUCUGCCGGCAACUGAAUUGACUGACUCUUCUCCAGAUUCCCAGCUGGUUCUGGAAGGCAGGAAGUUCUGCCAGGUCUCGGCUGGAAUCAAACACCUAAGGACACAGACCUGAGAUUGCUCUGCAGCCAGACGGAGCUGGAGUCAGGAACUCAGAGGGAAGAGAGAUGCUUCAGGCAGUGAGGCCCAAGGCAACAAAUGACUCCAAUGUUUAGACAAGUUCUGGGAAGAAAAGAAACUGUACGUGCAAGCUACGCAUCUGUCAGUAAGCCCUCAUCUAUGUGUUACUGCAUGUUCAGACAAUUUCAGGAUACAGAACCUGAAAAUCAUAUAACUGCUGAGUCAUCGUCCUGUCUACUCACCAUGACAGAGUCCUCCCAAAUGGAAACUGGUUGCCAGCCCCCCACUCUUCCUUUUUCUAAUAAAGCAGCUGAUACAUUAUUGUCCCCA